UUCUUUUCAUUACAAUAGAAAUACAUUCGGCACAUAGACGUUAAAAAUGCUGGGCAUCCCGCAAGCAGGACCACCCGGUUCACUCGGUGUGUGUGGAUGAUUUACAGCCCCUUUCGGGGCCAAUCUCUAAUGAUCCUUCCGCAGGUUCACCUACGGAAA
RNAcentral lists this unclassified non-coding RNA (159 nucleotides) under uncultured fungus. RNAcentral's name for it is "sequence contains ITS1". Lineage: Eukaryota; Fungi. The record is from RNAcentral.